RNAcentral lists this ribosomal RNA (253 nucleotides) under uncultured bacterium. Its description in RNAcentral is "partial 16S ribosomal RNA". It matches the Rfam family "Bacterial small subunit ribosomal RNA", at positions 524 to 776 of the family's 1533-position model. The record is from RNAcentral.
UACGGAGGAUCCACGCGUUAUCCGGAAUCAUUGGGUUUAAAGGGUCCGUAGGCGGUCUUAUAAGUCAGUGGUGAAAUCUCUCCGCUCAACGGGGAAACGGCCAUUGAUACUGUAAGACUUGAAUUAUUGGGAAGUAACUAGAAUAUGUAGUGUAGCGGUGAAAUGCUUAGAUAUUACAUGGAAUACCGAUUGCGAAGGCAGGUUACUACCAAUGGAUUGACGCUGAUGGACGAAAGCGUGGGGAGCGAACAGG